This 624-nucleotide ribosomal RNA is filed under the name Metallea erinacea. RNAcentral describes it as "partial 12S ribosomal RNA". The stretch from base 382 to 453 matches the Rfam family "tRNA". The record is from RNAcentral. Lineage: Eukaryota; Metazoa; Arthropoda; Insecta; Diptera; Rhiniidae.
AAAAAAUUUGGCGGUAUUUUAGUCUAUUCAGAGGAACCUGUUCUAUAAUCGAUAAUCCACGAUGGACCUUACUUAAUUUUGUAUUCAGUUUAUAUACCGUCGUUAUUAAAAUAUUUUAUAAGAAUGUUAAUUUUUGCAAUUUUUUUAAUAAAAUAUAUCAGAUCAAGGUGUAGCUAAUAUUUAAGUAGAAAUGGGUUACAAUAAAAUUAUUUAUACGAAUAUAAAUUUGAAAUUUUUAUUGAAGGUGGAUUUGAUAGUAAAAUUAUAAAGAUUAAUAAUUUGAUUUUAGCUCUAAAAUAUGCACACAUCGCCCGUCGCUCUUAUUAUUAAGGUAAGAUAAGUCGUAACAUAGUAGAUGUACUGGAAAGUGUAUCUAGAAUGCAAUUUAAAGCUUAUUUAGUAAAGUAUUUCAUUUACAUUGAAAAGAUUUUUGUGCAAAUCAAUAUAAAUUGAUUAGAUUUUAUUUAUUAAAUAAUUUUUUUUUAUUUAAAUUAUUAAAAAUAAUUAUAUAAUUAAUAGUUUUAGUAUUUAAUAAAUAAAAAAUAAUUUUAAUAAUAGUUUAAUAGUAUUGUGAAAGAAAAUUGAAAUAAUUUGAAAAAUUUUUGAUUUAAAAGAAAAUUUAAU